This 195-nucleotide ribosomal RNA is filed under the name uncultured eukaryote. RNAcentral's name for it is "partial 18S ribosomal RNA". The record is from RNAcentral.
AGAAAUAUCACCAGGUUCAGAAAUAUUGGACAGAUUUGUCGGUACAUGGCCGGUAUUAGUUGGUGGAGCGAUUUGACAAGUUAUUGCAGAUAACAAAGAGACUCUGUAAUGCUGAAUAGUUUCAGCUUUUCUUUUGAACCGACAAUUCUUCUUAGAGGGACUGACGACUCUUAGUCACACAAGAUUGAGCAAUAA